RNAcentral lists this unclassified non-coding RNA (483 nucleotides) under Hevea brasiliensis (rubber tree). Lineage: Eukaryota; Viridiplantae; Streptophyta; Magnoliopsida; Malpighiales; Euphorbiaceae. The record is from RNAcentral.
GUGAUAUUCUACCAAAUAGAGCCUUGAAUACGUGGGAGGCAAUGAAAGGAAAUGGAAAUGAAAACCAUGAUCACCUCAGUUUCGAGCCCCUAAGCCUCAGUGGACUUUAUUAUCAAGAUUCAAUAACAGUUACGACCAAAGGUCAGCAGAUGGAGCUGGUGAAGAUCCUAACUAUUUUCACGUCCAUUGACUUCUCUGACAAUCAUUUUGUAGGACCAAUACCAGACGUUAUUGGCCAAUUCAGUGCGCUCUAUACUCUCAACUUGUCACACAAUGCUCUCACUGGCCGAAUUCCGCCAUUUUUAGGCAAAUUGGCACAACUUGAGUCCUUAGACCUCUCAGUUAAUCAGUUGAAUGGAACAAUUCCUCAGGAGCUUGUAGCCCUAACAUUCCUUUCAUUUUUGAACCUCUCAAACAAUCAAUUAGUUGGAAGCAUCCCAACAGGUAAUCAAUUCCUGACAUUUGAGAGCACUUCAUUCAGAG